GACGAACGCUGGCGGCGUGCUUAACACAUGCAAGUCGAACGGAAAGGCCCUGCUUUUGUGGGGUGCUCGAGUGGCGAACGGGUGAGUAACACGUGAGUAACCUGCCCUUGACUUUGGGAUAACUUCAGGAAACUGGGGCUAAUACCGGAUAGGAGCUCCUGCUGCAUGGGGGGGGUUGGAAAGUUUCGGCGGUUGGGGAUGGACUGGAGGCUUAUCCGCUUGUUGGUGGGGUAGUGGCUUACCAAGGGUUUGACGGGUAGCCGGCCUGAGAGGGUGACCGGCCACAUUGGGACUGAGAGACGGCCCAGACGCCUACGGGAGGCAGCAGUGGGGAAUAUUGCACAAUGGGCGGAAGCCUGAUGCAGCAACGCCGCGUGCGGGAUGACGGCCUUCGGGUUGUAAACCGCUUUCGCCGGUGACGAAGCGUGAGUGACGGUAAUGGGUAAAGAAGCACCGGCUAACUACGUG
Molecule: ribosomal RNA, 468 nt
Filed under: uncultured bacterium
Lineage: Bacteria
Description: partial 16S ribosomal RNA
Rfam family: Bacterial small subunit ribosomal RNA
Source: RNAcentral